Molecule: ribosomal RNA, 253 nt
Filed under: uncultured bacterium
Lineage: Bacteria
Description: partial 16S ribosomal RNA
Rfam family: Bacterial small subunit ribosomal RNA
Source: RNAcentral
UACAGAGGGUGCAAGCGUUGCUCGGAAUCAUUGGGCGUAAAGGGUAGGUAGGUGGUCUCAUUUGUCUGGGGUGAAAGCCCAGGGCUUAACCCUGGAAGUGCCCCGGAAACGGUGAGACUGGAGUACUGGAGAGGGUCGUGGAAUUCCCGGUGUAGCGGUGAAAUGCGUAGAGAUCGGGAGGAACACCAGAGGCGAAGGCGGCGACCUGGACAGUUACUGACACUCAACUACGAAAGCGUGGGGAGCAAACAGG